GUGAGUAAUUAACCCCUUUUAAUUGAGGCAACAGGGAAGGACUGGCCAGGACAGGCGCUUGAUCAGCCUCUCUCCUCUGGGUGAAACUGAUGCCAUCCUCUGUCUCCCCCCGGCUUUUCAGUCAGCACUUGGCCCCAGGGCACUAAUGGGGGCCAACCAGCCUGUACUUUCACCUGCUGUGGCUCCACACGCACUUCUCUCCAGCUUAAGUCUGAAAGCACCUAGUGUAUUGAUGGAUGUGAUAAGCUACGUGUGCAUUUGCUUUGGUUGGAAAGCAAGGUCAAGAGCUCUCCUGCUUUAUUAACAUUUAGAUAAGGAAACUGACAUCCACAGACGUUAAAUAAACUUCCCAAGAUUACACAUUAUGUAAAAGAUGGAGCCAGGAUUCAGUCCCAGACAGAUGAAAAGGUGACAGUCGAAGCCAAUCAUUGAACAGCUGAGUUAAGAAGCAGAGGAAUGAGUGAGCGCCCUGAAGGUUCCUGUGGAGUUCGUGGAGUGUGGAAUACAGGCAAGUGGUACAGAGCAGCCCCUCUGGUCUGAGGCCUACUUCCUCCGCUGCUAGGAUGUGUGCUUGGGCAAGUAAACAACACUGUGCUCCAGCUUCCUCACCUGUAAAACAAGGAUUAUAAGCGUGCCCACACCCAGGGCUGGUGGCCACGGAUACACACCGUGGGGAGUAGCAGUGCUUUACAGCUGAUGUCCAUUCUGACUCGACGGUCACCAAUCAUGACCAUGCCAGCUCCUCUCCCACUACUCAUUCCGUGUGAGUCUACAGUGUCUGCAAGCACAGUUUGCUGCCCUCCAGCUACAUUACCCAGAUGCAACAAAUCACGGUGCUCAACAAUGUUUGUUAACCGACUGUCUCACGUUCGGAUGUACAUAAUUUCUAAAGGGAAUACUGAAAAUUGGAUACAGGACGUGAAACACAGUGGUGGCAGAUAUUUCCAUCCCUAUUAUUCACUACUCUAUCUUCAGGAUCUGGCACAGAUAAAUAUCAAGCGUCUAAAAAAAUAUGAAAAGAACUUCCAGCUUUCUUUACCAUAGCACCAGGGACAAUGUCUCUGCUUUUCGGCUCCCAUUUUGUUGGGCAUAGUAUUCUUUUUCCAGUGGACAUUUCAGACCAUGAGACUAGAAGAACACCUGUGCUCAAGAGAGUUGGCGAGGAAGAUGAGUGGCACACGGCUUAUCCGGGCUCCGUCUUGAUGGCUCUGGGUGCUAGCUACAACAGACCACAGCUCCAUGCAGACCUAUGAGCACCUAAUCAGAGCCACACACGCCAUGGGCCAGUGAAAACUUCUCAGAAGAGAUUGGUUCCAGAAGCAACUUAACUUCCCCAUUGAUUACUGACUAGAAUGGACCAUCCUAGUCCACAAAAGAUGAAUCUGAAAAAUCUCCAGGUAUAGCGAGGGGAGUGCAAAUCAAUGAGGCCCUGGUGGCAACAUGGAACGAACAUAGUCCUUACACCAGGCAGCUCUGCCACCUGACUUUUGCUGUACUGGAUCCAGAUGUUCUGAUUUUUUCAAGAAAAGCCAGACUUCAGAUUUCAUGUGAAAUCUCUCAAAUGCAAAAAGUUGGCCUCUAACUCAAAUUUAAAACAACCACGACCAUACGCUGUGAGCCAAACAAAACAGCUUCUAACCACACUCAGCUGGGAUUCAACCCCUGCCUUACAGGCUGGGGAAAACUAAAUCCAAUUCUGAGAAGAGUAAACCAAAAUAACCAGACUUCUGCCUUCCUUAAUCUCCUGUUAAAUUCCUUCCUUCCAGAAAACAGUCUUCAUGCACGGGUCAGAAAGCUCGGCCGUCAUGUACUCAGAUUCCCUCAUCUUCAAACUCAGCAUCAGAGUGAGCAUGUUCCAUCUCGCAACUUGCUGGGCAGGGCCAGGGGAGGUUUGCUCACCCUUAGCAGGCCCUAAGUGUCCUUGGCAUCUGCAAUGGUAAGAGUGGAGAACAUCGGGAAAGGGAGAGAAGUUCUCACCAACGCCAAGGGAGAAAGAGAAUUCUGUGGCUGCCAAAGGAGAGAGUGGGGCAGCCUAUCUGUGUGUAAGGAACACAGUCUGAGCUAAGAAGUGAGGGCCUAAUUAUUACCCAAAUCUUUCAGUAGACUGAGCCUCUCAAAAGCUGGGACUAUGUGUAAUCCAUCUGUGUACCCUUAGACUCCACCACAGUGCCUGGCGCGUAGUAGCCACUCCACUGGUUGUCGGGAGAAAGCGGAGCGGUCAGUUUUCUGUCAUAUGACAGAAGAAGGGAAAGAUUCCCAAUCCAGUCAUCAAUUACCGGCCUCAAAACUUCCCCAAGAAACUGUGAAAUUUAACACUUCAGGAUCAACGGCAGGAUUUGCAAUUUCAGAAUCGCAGACUUUAUUGUUCU
Molecule: long non-coding RNA, 2369 nt
Filed under: Equus asinus (donkey)
Lineage: Eukaryota; Metazoa; Chordata; Mammalia; Perissodactyla; Equidae
Description: lncRNA (ENSEASG00005035729.1)
Source: RNAcentral